This 416-nucleotide long non-coding RNA is filed under the name Linum usitatissimum (flax). RNAcentral's name for it is "long non-coding RNA (LUSI_LNC001494)". Lineage: Eukaryota; Viridiplantae; Streptophyta; Magnoliopsida; Malpighiales; Linaceae. The record is from RNAcentral.
AAUUUUAUUUUAUACUAGUGUUGAAAAUUGUCAAAAAUUCAAUCUAAAAUUUUUUACAGGACCGAGUCAGGUUGGACAAUUUCCCCCACCCAACAUCUUGAUGUCAAUUUAAUGUCGAGUAAUAACCAUCAAAGUGAUUAAAUCGAACGGCCUUCAAAAUUCAUCUCCAUACCCAAACUUAUUACAUUUAACAAUCUCAUCACUACAGAAUUAUAAUAAAUCCAUGCACAUCACACGAUCAAACUAAUUCAGCUUUAAACUCAACAAUUCCAUAGCUAUAAGCCGAUAUUUCAGAUCGCAGUGAAGACCGAGACGACCAAACCGUAGAAGAAAACAAAUGCAACCCCCCAUGAUCCGGGGACGAUAUCCGGCCGGUGUUUGGACCCACCAGAGCUCCCUCCUGGGAGGGGCGUCGC